GAUGAACGCUAGCGGCAGGCCUAACACAUGCAAGUCGAGGGAGAAGCCCUUCGGGGCAGAAACCGGCGCACGGGUGCGUAACGCGUAUGCAACCUACCUUUCACAGGGGGAUAGCCCGAAGAAAUUUGGAUUAAUACCCCAUAGUAUUAUUGGGUGGCAUCAUUUGAUAAUUAAAAUUACGAUGGUGAAAGAUGGGCAUGCGUCCUAUUAGCUAGUUGGAGUGGUAACGGCACCCCAAGGCUACGAUAGGUAGGGGUCCUGAGAGGGAGAUCCCCCACACUGGUACUGAGACAGGGACCAGACUCCUACGGGAGGCAGCAGUGAGGAAUAUUGGUCAAUGGUCGGAAGACUGAACCAGCCAUGCCGCGUGCAGGAAGAAUGCCUUAUGGGUUGUAAACUGCUUUUAUAUGGGAAGAAUAAGGAGUACGUGUACUUUGAUGACGGUACCAUAUGAAUAAGC
RNAcentral lists this ribosomal RNA (460 nucleotides) under Capnocytophaga granulosa. RNAcentral's name for it is "bacterial SSU rRNA". It matches the Rfam family "Bacterial small subunit ribosomal RNA", at positions 28 to 491 of the family's 1533-position model. Lineage: Bacteria; Pseudomonadati; Bacteroidota; Flavobacteriia; Flavobacteriales; Flavobacteriaceae. The record is from RNAcentral.